This 392-nucleotide unclassified non-coding RNA is filed under the name Hevea brasiliensis (rubber tree). The record is from RNAcentral. Lineage: Eukaryota; Viridiplantae; Streptophyta; Magnoliopsida; Malpighiales; Euphorbiaceae.
GAACUGGUGUUAACAAGAAGUUGGAGCUAAAGAGAACUCUGGAGUCUAUGGAUUACAAGUUGAGUAGAACUAGAAUCAGUAUAUGAGAUGCAAGUUUAUCAAUGAAUUGACAAGUGAUUGAAGUGUGGUUAGCAUAGAUGGCUAAUAGUCCAAUAUAGCCUCACACUUUAAAUACCUGGGAUCUAUAAUGUCCAACAUAGGGUGAAAUGAGGACAUCAAUCAUAGGAUAAAGUAGGACGUAUGUGCAAAACAUGACGAUGGACGAGAUAAAAAAAUUAAUGCAUUCAUGGGAAGGAGAGAGUAGCAUCUUCCAGUAACAAACAAGGGAAAACAAUAGAAUAUAUAGCAAGGGCAAGCCAAGCCAAAUUAACUUAAGCCAUUUUGAUAGAGGC